GAUGAACGCUGGCGGCGUGCCUAAUACAUGCAAGUCGAGCGAACAGACGAGGAGCUUGCUCCUCUGACGUUAGCGGCGGACGGGUGAGUAACACGUGGAUAACCUACCUAUAAGACUGGGAUAACUUCGGGAAACCGGAGCUAAUACCGGAUAAUAUAUUUAACCGCAUGGUUCAAUAGUGAAAGACGGUUUUGCUGUCACUUAUAGAUUGAUCCGCGCCGCAUUAGCUAGUUGGUAAGGUAACGGCUUACCAAGGCAACGAUGCGUAGCCGACCUGAGAGGGUGAUCGGCCACACUGGAACUGAGACACGGUCCAGACUCCUACGGGAGGCAGCAGUAGGGAAUCUUCCGCAAUGGGCGAAAGCCUGACGGAGCAACGCCGCGUGAGUGAUGAAGGUCUUCGGAUCGUAAAACUCUGUUAUUAGGGAAGAACAAAUGUGUAAGUAACUAUGCACGUCUUGACGGUACCUAAUCAGAAAGCCACGGCUAACUACGUG
This 497-nucleotide ribosomal RNA is filed under the name uncultured bacterium. Its description in RNAcentral is "partial 16S ribosomal RNA". It matches the Rfam family "Bacterial small subunit ribosomal RNA", at positions 28 to 507 of the family's 1533-position model. The record is from RNAcentral.